This 81-nucleotide small nuclear RNA is filed under the name Octodon degus (degu). Its description in RNAcentral is "U4 spliceosomal RNA (ENSODEG00000022935.1)". It matches the Rfam family "U4 spliceosomal RNA". From Rfam's summary of the family: U4 small nuclear RNA (U4 snRNA) is a component of the major U2-dependent spliceosome. Lineage: Eukaryota; Metazoa; Chordata; Mammalia; Rodentia; Octodontidae. The record is from RNAcentral.
AGCUUUAUGCAGUGGCAGUAUUGAAGCCAAUGAGGUUUAUCCAAGGCACGAUUAUUGUUUAUGGAAAAGUCUGUCAGUUAA